Molecule: long non-coding RNA, 2629 nt
Organism: Numida meleagris (helmeted guineafowl)
Lineage: Eukaryota; Metazoa; Chordata; Aves; Galliformes; Numididae
Exons: 2
Source: RefSeq, a predicted model, not a curated record
AAUGACUAUAGUCUCAUUUUAUCCAGUGACAGAUAAAAACCCCUUACAUGAUAUUGAUAAGCAACAUUCUCUGGCAGCUUUCUGAGGUGACAAGAAAACAGUUCUAAAUAAAUGUAUUUUGGGUUCUAAAUAAAUGUAUUUUGGGUUCUGUAUUCUAGAAUAUGAACAAGAAAUUGUGAAGAGCCUGGGGAGGAGGCUAGAAGAUGCCAACAGGAAAAGGAGGACAUGAAGAGUCACAGAACCACAGAAUGGUUUGCAUUGGAAGGGAUGCAGAAAAGGACUGAGAGAUGCAUAAUGAAAAAUGGGGGCAGACUGAAACUGGAAGAUGGGUAGGAAAUACAGGCGCAGGAGAACCUGUCUGGGCAGGAGUUCUGGCCUGUGGCUCCCUCACUUGCACACCUUCACUACCUCUAAUGCAGAUACAUGAAAUAAUUUUGUCCUUCAUAAUAACCAUUUUGCACAUCAAUGGAGACACUCAUGUCAACUGAAGACAGGCCUUUCUUUUUCUGAUCUUUGUGUCCCUGUCACAGCAUCCACAAAGAGUCUAUUCACUAUUUUUGUUACAUAGAUAGUCCCCUGGAUUCUUCCUUAAGUGUCCAAGUAACACUGUGGUUGCCUUUGCACUAACACCAGCCAUCCUCAUAGAAAUGUUAAUCUCAUCUAAUGUAAAACUUUGGACUUCAAAUGUCUUAUUCUCCCUUAUUGUUUCACUAUAAUCCUCCAUCAGCAUAUGAUACACCUGGAUAUUUCUUUCAUUUUGAACAACCUUGCUGGAAGUAUUUUCAUUCCAUCCAGAGACUACUGAGACCACUGGUUAAAUUAUUUUCAAAAUUUGUAUCAAUAAGUGAAAUUAAAUCAGCCAUCUUAAAGAAUAAGCUUUCCAGGCAGAUCCUAAGCUAGGUGAAAUUAAUAUAAGUCAUUCUAAGACAUGUUCUGAAGCAUAUAUGAGAUACUUUGGGGUUGCUGUUUGUUCUGGAGGUUGAACUAGAUGACUCUGAGUUUCCUUCCAACCCAAAUGUUUUUAUGGUUCUGUGAUUCAAAUUUUGUCUGAAAAGUUACAAAACUUUUCUUGUCAGUAUGAAAAAUAUUGGAACACUAGAUAAAAACUUUAUUGAGUUUCAGCAAAACUUGAUCAUUCUGUUUAUUUUUUAUUAUCAGAUGUAGGGCUCAGAAACUUGUUGUGUAGAAAAUACAUCCAGAGUUAAAGAUAAGAAGAAUGAGUCAGAGAUGUGGGCAUCACUUUGGGAACUUUGUACAUUGUUGUGCAAUGAUUUCUAGAAUUUAUAACAUUUGGAUUAAGGCAUACAUAGAAAAACUGUAAGGAAAAAUGGCUGUUUUUUUUUCUCUGAAUUUUUUAAGCUGUACUGAAAUCAAUCAUGGAAAAAGUAAAACACCAAAUAGUUCAGAAUCUACUACUUCACUUAAGAUAAACUAAAAGAAUUAAAAGAUCAGAGAUGCGUAUUUCUGAGAAAAACAGAGCUUCCAGCAAGUGAACGUGUGGGAUGCUUCAAGAGGGGGAUGAUCUCAGCUAUUACAAGCAGGAGACUAGUUCUAAAUGAAGGAGAUUAUAAAAACUAUAAUUAGCUAAUGCUUGCUAAAAGCCUAACUAAACUGUUGGGUUUUUUCCAUUCCAAAGUGCAAUUCCAUAGUGGGAUCAAGUGUCACAUAGCAAGUGCAGAAAGAAAAACAGAUCUUAUGAACAUAAGAUCUGACAUUAUUUCGGGACAGGCUUGUAAGCUCUGCGAAACAGAUACUUUUCUGUUAAUGAUGCUGUGAUUUCUGAAGAACUGUUUACUUACUAUAUUGGAAUAUAAUAAGAACAUCACAAUUAAUUGUCACCCAUUUGUACUAAUUUUAUUUACAUGUCUACAGCUAACUCUUUAAUCUGUGUUGUAAAUUAUUAAGAAAGCAGAUGGAUUGCUGGAGAGAACAGAAUCCCUAGUCUCAUAAAAGCAAAUUUACUCUUCUCAGAAGUGGUCUCAUUACUAUUUUGUUUAAUAUCCAUGGUAUUUAACAUAAUAACCUGAUGAAGGAUGACCGUGUCUGCUCUGCAUGGAUCACAUUCUGUCCCUAGGGAGUUUUCAAAGUACAGAAACAUGGAACACUUCAAAUCCUGACAGAGAAUAAGCCAAGAUCCCUGCUCUUAUAAAGCACCCUAAAUGUUGCUUGACCUUUGCUGUAAACUUGUAGGUAACAGAGGGAAGCAUCACAGAAGAAGCAGGAUGUCUAGCAACACGAAAGCAUUUCAGGAGUGUGUGGCAAUUGCUGUCUUACAGAGGACAGGCAGUUUGAACCGUCUACUAGAAUGACAGAAGAAAAAUACAGUAGUUUGCUGAGGCUUUUACCAAAUAUGGAAGCACAGGCUUCAUUCUCCUAAGUGCACCCCAUCACACCUCCCCAGACUGCUAAGCUACUUCUGUAACAAAUUCAAGGGUAAUCUGGAGCACUACAGCAAAGAGCUGAGUAAAACAGAACUGUAAAGCUGAGAAACACGGUGUUUCCCACUGCACCCAAGAGCAGACAAUCUUUUGGUAGUCGUGCUUCAGUCCCUCAAUACUUGUCAUCAGCACAAGGUCCAGAGCUGCUGAAGAAAAGGUGCAAGACAGGGGCUUUUUUCAUGCAAGGCAAG